Molecule: ribosomal RNA, 210 nt
Filed under: uncultured bacterium
Lineage: Bacteria
Description: partial 16S ribosomal RNA
Rfam family: Bacterial small subunit ribosomal RNA
Source: RNAcentral
CGCGUAGGUGGCGGGACAAGCGUGCGGUGAAAGCUCGGGGCUCAACCCCGAGUCGGCCGUGCGAACUGUUUUGCUUGAGCACUGUAGAGGCAGGCGGAAUUCCGGGUGUAGCGGUGGAAUGCGUAGAGAUCCGGAAGAACACCGGUGGCGAAGGCGGCCUGCUGGGCAGUAGCUGACACUGAGGCGCGACAGCGCGGGGGAGACAAACGA